Xiphophorus couchianus (Monterrey platyfish) is the source of this 4053-nucleotide RNA transcript. It is a transcript of the gene named solute carrier family 5 member 5, with no coding region annotated. Lineage: Eukaryota; Metazoa; Chordata; Actinopteri; Cyprinodontiformes; Poeciliidae. The transcript is spliced from 17 exons. The record is from RefSeq and is a predicted model, not a curated record.
CCUUGUUCAAACCUUUUGCUUACCUCUUCUUCCCAUCGUACUGCUGUUACUCACUUGGGACAUUUUGCUCCCAGACUUGCAUGUCUGUGCUUCUCCUCGUGUUUCCCUCCGUUUGCCGAGACAGAGAGUUUACUCCUGCUGUCAUCAACAGAAAUUGUUGUACACGAACAGGCAUAAAAUGGGAAAAACCAUGAAAACUUGAGAAUACAUAAAAAGGGAAACAAAGUUUCUUUUAAAUCUAACAAUAACUAGGGUAUGGAGCUGGACCACCGCUGUGUGAUGUUAGCUCUAUUGCAUGUGGGGUGUCAGAUAUGUUGUUUUCUCACUGAACGUCUCUCCCAUUUCUUGCUCCACAAAGGUCAGUAAGAGUCAAAAGACAAAUUUUAGGUUUUACAACUUUUUAAUAAUAGUUUCAACCAUCAUUUUCCUACUGGCCACAACAAUCUGCACUUACUGACACAAGCUGAACAGGUCUUGAGUCAUCAAAUGCACUGAAUACAAUAGCAGAAAACUUCUACUGUUUUGGAAUUAAAGUAAAUUAGGGAAAAGCUCUCUAUAGUUUUUUCUUUCUAAAAUAACCUUUCUGAUCAUUAAUCAUUGUCAAAACUUAUAAAAACUAUAAAGGGUCUCAUUUUUUCUGGGAGAGAUACAUAAUUUUUAAUAUUCCAAUAAAGUUGAAUCUUUUUGUCAUUAGGAACUUUUACAAUAUUUACUACAGAUCUUCAUUUAACUGACGUUUGUGUAGCAGUUUCAUACCAAUCAGAUCUUAUCACAUCAGCAUGUAGUUGGGUCAAGGUUUGCUGUAAAAGACAAAGAUAGCCAAGAGUUUACUGUCAAAUGUUUAAAGCUUGUGAUGAAAAAAGCGUCCGAGUUUUAUUACACUGUUUAAACUUAAGAUUGAACUCUACUUUGAGUUCAAGCUUCUUACAGAGUUUUAUAUACAAUAAAACCAGUGCUUGUAACCACAAUAGAAACAAUUUACAGGUACACAUGGUAGUCAUCUAAAAAAAUGCUCUUUUACAGCAAUUAGUGUCACUUCAGAUAAGGAUGUGUCGGAAGCCUUACAAUAAAUGUCUUUCACAUACCAUGCCCUAUCUUUAGUUCCCAGUCCCAGCAAGAGCUAAGGGAAGUCAUCCAUGAGUUAAUCUUUAGUUGAAUUGAUUACCACGAGAGUGUCUUCAAAGGUCUGCCUAAAAAGUCAAUCAGACAUCUGCAGCUGCUGUUGUCAUUUUCAGUUUCCUCAUCGUUUACCAUUUUUUUUGUAAAUCUCUGCUAAAAUGGUUAUUUCUUUUACUAGAACCAGCUCUUUUUCCUUUCAACUGUAAUAUACAUCUAUGAACAUAAACACGGCCUCUUGUAACUGAAAAACAUUCCUUGUGCUUGCCAUUAAUAUUAGGAACUUUUGAACAGAAUGACUUUAUUGCUCUUUUAAGAUUGAAUGAAAAUAAUCAAUCUGAGAGAGAGCUAUUGGCAUACAACAGCUUUGCUGAUGAGGCGUUAAUGAUCACUUACGGUAUGUAUAGAUCAAAAGGCUUCAGUAUUAGAAAGAAGAUAAGAUAGUGGAUUUACUGAUCAUUUUGUUAGAGACCUAUUCAAAAGGAAGGUAUACUUUUUUUGUGAAUUUGCUGAAUAGAACAGUUGGAAUUAUAGUUUGCAGUUUUAUUGAAUAUUUUAGGAUUCACAAAUUUAUUGGUUUGGCAAAUAUUUAUCUAUUUUACAUGUUUGCUGGGAGGUCAUGGUCCGUGUCUUGAUUUUGGAAUAAAUCUAGAAUACAUUAAAGUUAUGCCCAAAUCUCCACAAAUCCCUCCUUUGUACCUUAAUGUUUGCAACAUUCUGAGAGAUGUUUAUGCUGUCCCAUAAAUAUUUAAAAUAGAUUACUUAUGCCCUCUCUCCAGCUCAUGUCCCUCUGAUUCCUUUAUCAGCAUUAGUAUUUCUUUCUGGUUGCACACUGUAAACUUUCAAACCUUUAUUGACCCUCUCCUCUGAGUGUCUUCCUUUAAGGAAGGUCUCAAGAUGUGCUGAGGCGUUACUCACAAAAGCAAGUGUGUCAGAGAAGGCGCAUGAAUAUCUUCCAGCUGCUGAGGGGUGAAGUUGGCUGUCAGCACAUUCUUACUUCACAGACUGGACUGGACUGACAUAGGGGAGGUUGGCGUCUAUUUCCAGUGGCCAACAGGCAGGAGACACCAGGCAGCUCAUCAACCAGUCACAUCUAAAGGCAAACUGAAGUGACCAGAUCAACCAAACAUCUGGAUUCAAAAGAGACUUAAAAACAGAGAGAACCAAACUCAACAAUGGAGAAAACUUUUGAUAGUAAUCCAGGCUUUGCACUGGCUGACUACGCCGUCUUUGCUGCUAUGUUGUCAGUAUCCAUGGCAAUUGGGCUUUUUCAGGCUCUGAAAAAACAGCGAAGGGAUGCAACUGCAGAGGCCUUCUUCACUGGAGGUCGGAGCAUGCCAGCUGUGCCUGUUGGUUUGUCGCUCUGUGCCAGCUUCAUGUCAGCUGUCCAGGUCCUGGGUGUUCCCUCAGAGGGAUUUCGCUAUGGCUUCAAAUUCCUCUACAUGUGCCUCGGACAAAGCAUCAACUCCCUGCUGACAGCUUACCUGUUCCUGCCAGUUUUCUUUCGACUGGGCAUCACCAGCACCAACCAGUAUCUAAAGAUGAGGUUUGGCAGAGGGAUGCAGCUGCUGGGAAGCAUCCAGUUUAUUCUUGCAACGCUGCUUUACACUGGGAUUGUCAUCUAUGCACCAGCCUUGAUCUUAAAUCAAGCUACUGGACUUAGUAUCUGGGUGUCUCUCUUUUCCACGGGGAUCAUUUGCACCAUGUACACCACACUGGGCGGCAUGAGGGCUGUUAUCUGGACUGAUGUGUUCCAGAUUGUUGUCAUGUUAUCAGGUUUCGUGGCAAUUUUCAUCCAAGGGACAAUUCUGGUCGGCGGUCCUGCACAAGUACUGGAGAUUGCCAGCAAUAAAUCACGCCUUAAUUUCAAUGAUUUUGAUGUCGAUCCACGGAAACGUUACACCUUCUGGAGCCUCAGUGUUGGGGGUUCCAUGGUUUGGUUGUCCAUGUAUGGAGUAAACCAAGCACAAGUUCAGCGCUACAUUUCCUGCCGAUCAGAGAAAGAUGCCCAGUGGGCUCUGUUUGUAAAUCAGAUCGGUCUGUGCCUCAUUGUGAGCAGCGCAGCAACCUGCGGUAUCGUCAUGUUUGCUUAUUACAACCUCUGCGACCCGCUGAAAUCUGGGAGGAUUUCUGCACCUGAUCUGUACAUGCCAUUCUUCGUGUUGGACAUAUUUCGUAAUCAUCCAGGAUUCCCAGGUCUUUUCCUUGCCUGUGCAUACAGCGGGACUCUCAGCACUGCCUCCACGAGUAUCAACGCCAUGGCUGCAGUGACAAUGGAGGAUAUACUGAGACCUCAUCUGCUCCAGACGACACAGAAUAAGCUGGUCCUUGUUUCCAAAGGAUUGUCAUUCCUGUAUGGAGCUGGAUGCAUCACUGUAGCAGCUCUUUCCUCCUUUCUGGACUGGGGGGUUCUUCAGGGUUCGUUCACUGUCAUGGGUGUGGUCAGUGGUCCAAUUCUGGGCAUAUUCAUUUUGGGAAUGUUUGUCCCAGGAACAAACAGGCUGGGGGCGUACUCUGGGAUAUUGGCGGGAUUCUGUGUCUCUCUGUGGCUGGCUGUGGGUUCAACUCUUCACCCACCCAGUGAGGAGACCAUGGGUGUCCUGCCCAGCUUCACAGACGGCUGCAGCUUUGCUAAUGGCACAAGAAACAACAGCUCUACGUGGCCUCCUCAACUUCUACUCCAUGUCUUACCUCUAUUUUGGAGCCAUGGCCACCAGUUCAGUCAUACUGGUGGGACUGAUAGUGAGCUAUGCAACAGGGCCAACAAAGAGGAGUCAAAUUAAAGAGGGGUUGUUAUGGUGGGACCUGAAUAAAAAGGAGAUGGAGAUCUCGUCAGAAAGCAAAACCGAUGUGAUAUCCUGGAUGUUCCCCUGCUUUGUUCAGACUGCAUGCAGGAAUGCACAACAGAUAUCUGUGGUUCACAUAGGAAAUAACCAG